UACGUAGGGUGCGAGCGUUGUCCGGAAUUAUUGGGCGUAAAGAGCUCGUAGGCGGUGUGUCACGUCGUUCGUGAAAACCUGCAGCUUAACUGUGGGCGUGCGGUCGAUACGGGCAUCACUGGAGUUCGGUAGGGGAGACUGGAAUUCCUGGUGUAGCGGUGAAAUGCGCAGAUAUCAGGAGGAACACCGGUGGCGAAGGCGGGUCUCUGGGCCGAUACUGACGCUGAGGAGCGAAAGCCAGGGGAGCAAACGGG
This 254-nucleotide ribosomal RNA is filed under the name uncultured bacterium. RNAcentral describes it as "partial 16S ribosomal RNA". It matches the Rfam family "Bacterial small subunit ribosomal RNA", at positions 524 to 776 of the family's 1533-position model. The record is from RNAcentral.